AGAGCGAACGCUGGCGGCAUGCUUAACACAUGCAAGUCGCACGAACGGUUUCGGCCGUUAGUGGCGGACGGGUGAGUAUCGCGUAGGAAUCUAUCCAUGGGUGGGGGACAACUCCGGGAAACUGGGGCUAAUACCGCAUAAUACCUAUGGGUCAAGGCGAGCAAUCGCGCUUAAAGAGGGGGUCGCGGCAGAUUAGUUAGUUGGUAGGGUAAUGGCCUACCAAGACGAUAAUCUGUAUCCGGCCUGAGAGGGCGCACGGACACACUGGAACUGAAACACGGUCCAGACUCCUACGGGAGGCAGCAGUGGGGAAUUUUGCGCAAUGGGGGAACCUGACGCAGCAACGCCGCGUGGAGGAUGAAAUAUCUUGGUAUAGUAAACUCCUUUCGAUGGGGACGAUAAUGACGUACCAUAGAAGAACGCCCCGGCUAACUUCGCGCCAGCAGCCGC
RNAcentral lists this ribosomal RNA (450 nucleotides) under uncultured bacterium. Its description in RNAcentral is "SSU rRNA". It matches the Rfam family "Bacterial small subunit ribosomal RNA", at positions 26 to 518 of the family's 1533-position model. The record is from RNAcentral.